GCCUCGCUGGCCCAAUCGGUUAAGGCUCCCGACUCUUAAUCGGGCGAUUGGGGGUUCGAGUCCCCCGUGGGGCU
This 74-nucleotide transfer RNA is filed under the name Kwoniella bestiolae CBS 10118. Its description in RNAcentral is "tRNA-Lys (CTT) (tRNA-Lys-CTT-3-1)". It matches the Rfam family "tRNA". Rfam says of the family: Transfer RNA (tRNA) molecules are approximately 80 nucleotides in length. Their secondary structure includes four short double-helical elements and three loops (D, anti-codon, and T loops). Lineage: Eukaryota; Fungi; Basidiomycota; Tremellomycetes; Tremellales; Cryptococcaceae. The record is from RNAcentral.